GGGGAUGUAAUGGUUUCGACAUUACAUUAGAAGUAUGUAUAGCAAGUAGUGGAUUCUCGUUGGCCACUAUAAAAACGAGAAAAUAAAUAUAAACGCUGAUAAUAAUAGAGAAUUAGCAUUAGCUGCUUAGUUGCGGCUACGUUUUAUAAAAUAUGCCCACGUAUUUUAUAAAACGACAAUUAGUGGGAAACGAAGCUACUUUGGCUUUGAAAGUAGUGGGUAAUAAAAAGCUAUAUUUAAAUUAAGCCUGUUUAUCGGCGUAGUUUAAAUGAAAAUAAAAGAUAAAAUAAACUUGUAGAAGUACAUGUGGAAAAUGUUAUGGACAGGAGUUCGACUCUCCUCAUCUCCACCA
This 352-nucleotide transfer-messenger RNA is filed under the name human gut metagenome. It matches the Rfam family "transfer-messenger RNA". Rfam says of the family: Bacterial tmRNA, also known as 10Sa RNA or SsrA, is named for its dual tRNA and mRNA-like properties. Its role is to liberate the mRNA from a stalled ribosome. The record is from RNAcentral.